This 120-nucleotide ribosomal RNA is filed under the name Salvator merianae (Argentine black and white tegu). The record is from RNAcentral. Lineage: Eukaryota; Metazoa; Chordata; Lepidosauria; Squamata; Teiidae.
AAGUAUCUCAAUAUAUAGGCUGCUCCUCANUAAUCUUGUGUGGUAUCAGAAGCUAAGCAAGGCUCAGCCUGAUAAGUAUUUGGAUUAGAUACCACUUUGGAAUACCAGGUGCUAUACUUA